Long non-coding RNA from Passer domesticus (house sparrow), 402 nucleotides. RefSeq lists it as uncharacterized. The record is from RefSeq and is a predicted model, not a curated record. The transcript has 3 exons. Lineage: Eukaryota; Metazoa; Chordata; Aves; Passeriformes; Passeridae.
GCUGACUGGGGCAGGAGCCAAACACUUCAGACUGCUCAGCCUCAUAACAGGCAUGAUAUGGCCAUGGAAAGCAUCCUCAGGUUUCUUCACGGUACCUAGUCAGAGCCUGGAAGCUGUUUUGCCUCUGAGGAAGGAUUUCCAGGCUUGGAUGUUGUGCUCUUCAAGUACCUUGCUGUCCAUUUUCAGUGUAUCUACAAGUAUUGGUAUUGCUGGGGCAGAGAGAAGAGGAAGGAGAUUCAGGUGCUCUGUCAGUUUGCAAUCCCAUUGCCCUCAUCUAAUCCUACAACCAUGGAAGAAACCUACACAGUCACCUUCAGAUGCUGAAGCUGUUCUCUGGGGGAAAAUAGAAAGCCUUCUACAUAUAAAGCCCAACUAAAAAUGGCAUUUAAGAUCUAACUUGUU